CGUAGGGUGCAAGCGUUAUCCGGAUUUACUGGGUGUAAAGGGAGCGUAGACGGUAUGGCAAGUCUGAUGUGAAAACCCGGGGCUCAACCCCGGGACUGCAUUGGAAACUGUCGGACUAGAGUGUCGGAGAGGCAAGUGGAAUUCCUAGUGUAGCGGUGAAAUGCGUAGAUAUUAGGAGGAACACCAGUGGCGAAGGCGGCUUGCUGGACGAUGACUGACGUUGAGGCUCGAAAGCGUGGGGAGCAAACAGGAUU
This 254-nucleotide ribosomal RNA is filed under the name uncultured bacterium. Its description in RNAcentral is "partial 16S ribosomal RNA". It matches the Rfam family "Bacterial small subunit ribosomal RNA", at positions 526 to 779 of the family's 1533-position model. The record is from RNAcentral.